Molecule: ribosomal RNA, 502 nt
Filed under: uncultured bacterium
Lineage: Bacteria
Description: partial 16S ribosomal RNA
Rfam family: Bacterial small subunit ribosomal RNA
Source: RNAcentral
AUUGAACGCUGGCGGCAGGCUUAACACAUGCAAGUCGAGCGGGGUGAUGGUGCUUGCACUAUCACUUAGCGGCGGACGGGUGAGUAAUGCUUAGGAAUCUGCCUAUUAGUGGGGGACAACAUCUCGAAAGGGAUUCUAAUACCGCAUACGUUCUACGGGAGAAAGCAGGGGAUCACUUGUGACAUUGCGCUCAUAGAUGAGCCUAAGUCGGAUUAGCUAGUUGGUGGGGUAAAGGCCUACCAAGGCGACGAUCUGUAGCGGGUCUGAGAGGAUGAUUCGCCACACUGGGACUGAGACACGGCCCAGACUCCUACGGGAGGCAGCAGGGGGAAUAUUGGACAAUGGGGGGAACCCUGAUCCAGCCAUGCCGCGUGUGUGAAGAAGGCCUUAUGGUUGUAAAGCACUUUAAGCGAGGAGGAGGCUCUUUUGGUUAAUACCCAAGAUGAGUGGACGUUACUCGCAGAAUAAGCACCGGCUAACUCUGUGCCAGCCGCCGCGGUAA